RNAcentral lists this ribosomal RNA (253 nucleotides) under uncultured bacterium. RNAcentral's name for it is "partial 16S ribosomal RNA". It matches the Rfam family "Bacterial small subunit ribosomal RNA", at positions 524 to 776 of the family's 1533-position model. The record is from RNAcentral.
UACGUAGGGGGCGAGCGUUGUCCGGAUUUAUUGGGCGUAAAGAGCGUGUAGGCGGCCAGGUAGGUCCGUUGUGAAAACUCGAGGCUCAACCUCGAGACGUCGGCGGAAACCCUCUGGCUAGAGUCCGGAAGAGGAGAGUGGAAUUCCUGGUGUAGCGGUGAAAUGCGCAGAUAUCAAGAGGAACACCUGAGGUGAAGACGGGUUGCUGGGCCAACACUGACGCUGAGGCGCGAAAGCCAGGGGAGCAAACGGG